This is a long non-coding RNA of Cucurbita maxima (winter squash), 886 nucleotides long. RefSeq lists it as uncharacterized. The record is from RefSeq and is a predicted model, not a curated record. NCBI's taxonomy places the organism in Eukaryota, Viridiplantae, Streptophyta, Magnoliopsida, Cucurbitales, Cucurbitaceae. The transcript is spliced from 3 exons.
AAAAAAUUGUCCCAUUUUGAUGUUUUGAUUAGGGAUUGUAAACUGUUGAAUAUAAAGCCGCCUUAAAAUCUAAUUACUACAGAAUCUCUUGAUGUCGCCAUAAAAUUUUCCCCUCGACCACCUCAGUAUUUCACCGACGCGCGCCGUCCGGGUUUCUUGUUACUGAUUCAUCGUCUUAAUGUUAUGCAGGUACGGAUGAAUGUUCUUAGCUUACUUGUAAAUCCGGUGCCAUACAUUUCUCAUAUCCUCUCGUUGUAUUGAGAAAGUACAAUGAUCUCUGCAGAAAUGAUGCCAAAGGAAUCACAGGAGCCGUUAGAUUUGGUUUGUUGUUCGUUGUUCGGCCGAUGAUUGCGCCAAAGUUCUGAUGGGUUCUCAGCCUAUUCCACUCGCGGUUCAUGCAAUGGCUGCGGAAUCUGAACAUAUGCAGCUUGUGUUUCUGAUGCCAUGUAAGUUGAAAGCUCGCUUCGAGCUACUGGGAGCUCGUUUUGAAGAUCUUCAAGUCUCUUUUGAAGAAUUGAAAUAAAGCGGAUGCAGCCACACAUAGGCUCAUGCAGCCAAGCCUCUGCCUCAUAGACCAAAGAGUCGACAGCUUCAUUGCGCACAUCAUAGCUAAAAAAUGCACAACUUCUGUGAACAAUUUGGAAUUUCUGAAGCUGGUCUGCUGGAAAAUGUGGCGCAAAAAUGCAAUCUGGAAGACACUUUCUUCUUAGAAGUUUACAGGCCGCACAUGGUGAGCCGUAAUUAACUAAAGGCUUAUCAGAUUGGGAUUUAGACGAACUCAAUCAACAAAACUGGUUCUCUUGUUUACUUCUCACGAGAUAUUCACUCCAAUUACUAUACUUGUAUGUAUACUAAUUUUCUUAUCUAUUAAAAUAAGAAUUUUAAG